UCGGGAAUAUUGCGCAAUGGAGGAAACUCUGACGCAGUGACGCCGCGUAUAGGAAGAAGGUUUUCGGAUUGUAAACUAUUUUAGACAGGGAAGAAAAAAGACAGUACCUGUAAAAUAAGCUCCGGCUAACUACGUGCCAGCAGCCGCGGUAAUACGUAGGGAGCAAGCGUUAUUCGGAAUCACUGGGCGUAAAGAGUACGUAGGCGGCAAGGUAAGUCUGAUGUGAAAUGCGGGAGCUUAACUUCCGAACGGCAUUGGAUACUGCUUUGCUAGAGCAAUGGAGGGGAAACCGGAAUUCUCGGUGUAGCAGUGAAAUGCGUAGAUAUCGAGAGGAACACUCGUGGCGAAGGCGGGUUUCUGGACAUUAGCUGACGCUGAGGUACGAAGGCCAGGGUAGCGAAAG
This 403-nucleotide ribosomal RNA is filed under the name uncultured bacterium. Its description in RNAcentral is "bacterial SSU rRNA". It matches the Rfam family "Bacterial small subunit ribosomal RNA", at positions 355 to 774 of the family's 1533-position model. The record is from RNAcentral.